RNAcentral lists this ribosomal RNA (253 nucleotides) under uncultured bacterium. RNAcentral describes it as "partial 16S ribosomal RNA". It matches the Rfam family "Bacterial small subunit ribosomal RNA", at positions 524 to 776 of the family's 1533-position model. The record is from RNAcentral.
UACGUAGGGGGCUAGCGUUGUCCGGAAUCAUUGGGCGUAAAGCGCGUGUAGGCGGUUCGGUAAGUCCGCUGUGAAAGUCGGGGGCUCAACCCUCGAAUGCCGGUGGAAACUGUCAGGCUCGAGUCCGGAAGAGGCGAGUGGAAUUCCUGGUGUAGCGGUGAAAUGCGCAGAUAUCAGGAGGAACACCAAUGGCGAAGGCAGCUCGCUGGGACGGUACUGACGCUGAGACGCGAAAGCGUGGGGAGCAAACAGG